AAGGGCCCGCGGGGGCUUAACCAGCAGCCGGGUUGAACGCAAUUCAGCCCCGGUUCACAGAUCAAACCAUGACGGCCACCUGGGAUUAUUAGGUGGUUCAGAUAUGACCGGAGCCCCCGCUGUUUAAGCGGGGGAUACCUUGUCCGUAGGUGAACCUGCGGAAGGAUCAUUACCGAGAUAGGGUCCCUUGGGCCCGAACCUCCACCCGAUGCGUACUUACCAUUUGUUGCUUUGGCGGGCCGUGGGGCCCGCGCGCCCCCCGUCGACCUCGGUGGACGAGCGCCCGCCAGAGACCCCUUAAACUCAGUAGAUCAAUGGCGUCCGAGCAAUGACAAAUCAGUUAAAACUUUCAACAACGGAUCUCUUGGUUCUGGCAUCGAUGAAGAACGCAGCGAAAUGCGAUAAGUAAUGUGAAUUGCAGAAUUCAGUGAAUCAUCGAAUCUUUGAACGCACAUUGCGCCCUCUGGUAUUCCGGGGGGCAUGCCUGUUCGAGCGUCAUUACACCCCUCGAGCCCAGCUCGGUAUUGGGGGCUGUCCCCCGGGCGCCCCCGAAAAUCAGCGGCGACACGUCCGGUCCUCGAGCGUAUUAAAACUUCUGUUCCGCUUCGAUGGGUCGGCCGCGCCAGCCGGAUAACCCCCGUUAUUUUUCCAUGAUUGACCUCGGAUCANGUAGGGAUACCCGCUGAACUUA
RNAcentral lists this ribosomal RNA (691 nucleotides) under Trapelia coarctata. RNAcentral's name for it is "eukaryotic LSU rRNA". The stretch from base 345 to 498 matches the Rfam family "5.8S ribosomal RNA". Lineage: Eukaryota; Fungi; Ascomycota; Lecanoromycetes; Trapeliales; Trapeliaceae. The record is from RNAcentral.